RNAcentral lists this long non-coding RNA (275 nucleotides) under Rattus norvegicus (Norway rat). RNAcentral describes it as "long non-coding RNA NONRATT005873". The record is from RNAcentral. Lineage: Eukaryota; Metazoa; Chordata; Mammalia; Rodentia; Muridae.
AAACCGCACAUGUGAGUAGGGUCAUCAUGAGACGCAAAGGAACAGAUGGAUAGAAGUGUGGGAAUCCCGUCCAGAUACCCUGCUGGGAAAUGUGCAUGUCACGCAAGUCACUUCCUUGCUGUCUCAGCUGCUCGGCCAACAUUAUCACUGUGGAGAGAGGAACACUCGCAAAGAAGCACAAGAAUGCAGAAGCAGCAAAUGGAUGGUUCAGAGGCUGGCGCUGAUGAAGAUAACCAAUAGCCCAAUGGUAAAUAAAAUUACUCUGAGAAUGCAAA